AGAAAUUCUCCUGUCCACAAAAAUUAGCUAAAAUGCCCCAAAGAAAUUUAUUUAAAAGUUGCUAGAAAAUUGGGUGUGAUGGUUAUGACUGAAAGAUUGCCGUAGAACAAAAGAGGAUGGCGUUCCAAUGGCUAUUCAAUGGCCAUGGCCAUAGUAUCUAUCAUACAAACGCAAAAUCGCAUUCGUUUCAUAUCAAAAAAUAAUAACAAACUAUGGAAAGAAAGCAAUAUCGUCGGCAACGAGAAGUGUUGUAUGCAUGUAUAAUCGAAAUUAGUGGAAAACUCGUCGUAUUAGAGGCAAAAUGGCGGUUUGGAAAAUUAUGUACAUUCAAAUUCUUUGCCUUACUACAAAGUCAUUUGCCAGAAUAAAUUGGUGAAAUUGUUUGUAA
Bactrocera dorsalis (oriental fruit fly) is the source of this 388-nucleotide long non-coding RNA. RefSeq lists it as uncharacterized. NCBI's taxonomy places the organism in Eukaryota, Metazoa, Arthropoda, Insecta, Diptera, Tephritidae. The transcript has 2 exons. The record is from RefSeq and is a predicted model, not a curated record.